GACGAACGCUGGCGGCGUGCUUAACACAUGCAAGUCGAACGCUGAAGCCCUUUCGGGGGUGGAUGAGUGGCGAACGGGUGAGUAACACGUGGGUAAUCUGCCCUGCACUCUGGGAUAAGCCUUGGAAACGGGGUCUAAUAUCGGAUAGGACACAUCGCCGCAUGGUGUGUGUGUGGAAAGUUCCGGCGGUGCAGGUUGAGCCCGCGGCCUAUCAGCUUGUUGGUGGGGUGAUGGCCUACCAAGGCGACGACGGGUAGCCGGCCUGAGAGGGUGACCGGCAACACUGGGACUGAGACACGGCCCAGACUCCUACGGGAGGCAGCAGUGGGGAAUCUUGCGCAAUGGGCGAAAGCCUGACGCAGCAACGCCGCGUGGGGAUGACGGCCUUCGGGUUGUAAACCUCUUUCGACCGGGACGAAGGGUGACUGACGGUACCGGUAGAAGAAGCACCGGCUAACUACGUGCCAGCCGCCGCGGUAA
RNAcentral lists this ribosomal RNA (480 nucleotides) under uncultured bacterium. RNAcentral's name for it is "partial 16S ribosomal RNA". It matches the Rfam family "Bacterial small subunit ribosomal RNA", at positions 28 to 523 of the family's 1533-position model. The record is from RNAcentral.